UGAGGAAUAUUGGUCAAUGGGCGAGAGCCUGAACCAGCCAAGUCGCGUGAAGGAAGAAGGUUCUAUGGAUUGUAAACUUCUUUUGUAAGGGAAUAAAAAGAGUUACGUGUAACUUAUUGUAUGUACUUUACGAAUAAGGAUCGGCUAACUCCGUGCCAGCAGCCGCGGUCAUACGGAGGAUCCAAGCGUUAUCCGGAUUGAUUGGGUUUAAAGGGUGCGUAGGCGGGCCCUUAAGUCAGUGGUGAAAGUUUGCAGCUUAACUGUAAAAUUGCCAUUGAAACUGAGGGGCUUGAGUGUAAAUAAGGUAGGCGGAAUGUGUGGUGUAGCGGUGAAAUGCUUAGAUAUAACACAGAACACCAACUGCGAAGGCAGCUUACUGGGAUACAACUGACGCUGAGGCACGAAAGCGUGGGGAUCAAACA
This 422-nucleotide ribosomal RNA is filed under the name uncultured prokaryote. RNAcentral describes it as "bacterial SSU rRNA". It matches the Rfam family "Bacterial small subunit ribosomal RNA", at positions 355 to 774 of the family's 1533-position model. The record is from RNAcentral.